GAGUUUUGAUCAUGGCUCAGGAUGAACGCUAGCUACAGGCUUAACACAUGCAGUCGGAGGGGAAACGAUAUUGGAAGCUUGCUUCCGAUAGGCGUCGACCGGCGCACGGGUGAGUAACGCGUAUCCAACCUGCCCACCACUUGGGAUAACCUUGCGAAAGUAAGACUAAUACCCAAUGAUAUCUCUAGAAGACAUCUGAAAGAGAUUAAAGAUUUAUCGGUGAUGGAUGGGGAUGCGUCUGAUUAGCUUGUUGGCGGGGUAACGGCCCACCAAGGCAACGAUCAGUAGGGGUUCUGAGAGGAAGGUCCCCCACAUUGGAACUGAGACACGGUCCAAACUCCUACGGGAGGCAGCA
Molecule: ribosomal RNA, 355 nt
Filed under: uncultured bacterium
Lineage: Bacteria
Description: bacterial SSU rRNA
Rfam family: Bacterial small subunit ribosomal RNA
Source: RNAcentral